RNAcentral lists this ribosomal RNA (492 nucleotides) under uncultured bacterium. RNAcentral describes it as "partial 16S ribosomal RNA". It matches the Rfam family "Bacterial small subunit ribosomal RNA", at positions 29 to 507 of the family's 1533-position model. The record is from RNAcentral.
AGUGAACGCUGGCGGUAGGCCUAACACAUGCAAGUCGAACGGCAGCACAGUAAGAGCUUGCUCUUACGGGUGGCGAGUGGCGGACGGGGGAGGAAUACAUCGGAAUCUACUUUUUCGUGGGGGAUAACGUAGGGAAACUUACGCUAAUACCGCAUACGACCUACGGGUGAAAGCAGGGGAUCUUCGGACCUUGCGCGAUUGAAUGAGCCGAUGUCGGAUUAGCUAGUUGGCGGGGUAAAGGCCCACCAAGGCGACGAUCCGUAGCUGGUCUGAGAGGAUGAUCAGCCACACUGGGACUGAGACACGGUCCAGACUCCUACGGGAGGCAGCAGUGGGGAAUAUUGGACAAUGGGCGCAAGCCUGAUCCAGCCAUACCGCGUGGGUGAAGAAGGCCUUCGGGUUGUAAAGCCCUUUUGUUGGGAAAGAAAAGCAGCAGGUUAAUACCCCGCUGUUCUGACGGUACCCAAAGAAUAAGCACCGGCUAACUUCGUG